AACGCGAAGAACCUUACCAACCCUUGACAUGGGACGUAUGGGCUUCAGAGAUGAGGUCCUUCAGUUCGGCUGGCGUCCACACAGGUGCUGCAUGGCUGUCGUCAGCUCGUGUCGUGAGAUGUUGGGUUAAGUCCCGCAACGAGCGCAACCCUCAUCUUCAGUUGCCAUCAUUUAGUUGGGCACUCUGAAGAAACUGCCGGUGACAAGCCGGAGGAAGGCGGGGAUGACGUCAAGUCCUCAUGGCCCUUACGGGUUGGGCUACACACGUGCUACAAUGGCGGUGACAAUGGGGAGCAAAGGCGCGAGCCCGAGCCGAUCUCAAAAAGCCGUCUCAGUUCGGAUUGCACUCUGCAACUCGGGUGCAUGAAGUUGGAAUCGCUAGUAAUCGCGUAUCAGCAUGACGCGGUGAAUACGUUCC
This 418-nucleotide ribosomal RNA is filed under the name uncultured bacterium. RNAcentral describes it as "bacterial SSU rRNA". It matches the Rfam family "Bacterial small subunit ribosomal RNA", at positions 958 to 1374 of the family's 1533-position model. The record is from RNAcentral.